AUAUUUUCCUCUCUUUCCUUCUUCUCUCUCUCUCUCUGUUUACAUAGUUGUAGUUAUACUGUAUACAUUACUUUGUACUCUACUUUAUUUCACUUAACAUGACAACAUAAGCAUUUACCCACAUCAUUAAAACUCCCUGGUACCGAGAGCCCAGGUCUAUUUUUAUAGAGAAGCUUAAGUGAUUCUCAGUGGGCUCUGCUACCCAGCCUUAAUCACACAAAGACAAGUUAUCAGGUUCUCUCCAAAGUCCUGGCCUGCCGCUUGCCUACUGAGCAGGAAGCAGAACUAAGGCUGUCAUGGAGAGGAAGGACAGGCCAAAUACUGUUUGGCUGCCUGCUCCCUCCCACGAGCCAGCCUGCAGCCUGCUAAGUAAGGGGCCCUGCUGAUCCAGAAUUCUUUCUUGCAGAAACACAUACUGGCUUUGAACCAAGGAGGCAGGCUCACUGCUGCAGCAGCCCCAGGGGAAAAAUCCAGACACAGAAUAAAAAAGUAAACUAUGCCAGUGACUGUAUGGCAGUAUAGCAGGAUUGCUCAUCUUAAUUUCCAGAAAAGCGUCAUCCUAACUCACAGGCAAGACAAAGGCUGCCCAGCAGCCUUUACCCCUACUUUCCACACGGUGAGUGCACUGGAGGUUUCAAAAAGCCUGCGGACUAAGACCAGGAGAACAGCAGACACAGCCCACUGGGAAGCCCAUGAUGUUGACCCCAGAGUGGACUUGUGGACUCGUCAACUCGGGCCAGGCUCCUGGCUCGCAGGCAGAAGGGACUUGCCUUGUCUCAAAUGAGACUUUGGACUGUGGACUUUUGGAUUAAUGCUAAAGGAAACCCUGUCAGCACCAACACACUCACUAAGAUCUGUAACACGCAUCAGCCUAGGUUCAGCAUCUGCCAGGAGUCACCACAGCAGAUGCAACACACUGUAAGUAACCUUUGAACUUUAU
RNAcentral lists this long non-coding RNA (940 nucleotides) under Callithrix jacchus (white-tufted-ear marmoset). RNAcentral's name for it is "lncRNA (ENSCJAG00000051746.2)". Lineage: Eukaryota; Metazoa; Chordata; Mammalia; Primates; Cebidae. The record is from RNAcentral.